GUGGAGAGGAACAAUUCUGAGUCUUA
Molecule: non-coding RNA, 26 nt
Filed under: Oryctolagus cuniculus (rabbit)
Lineage: Eukaryota; Metazoa; Chordata; Mammalia; Lagomorpha; Leporidae
Also listed under: 3 other names
Source: RNAcentral